RNAcentral lists this ribosomal RNA (637 nucleotides) under uncultured bacterium. Its description in RNAcentral is "bacterial SSU rRNA". It matches the Rfam family "Bacterial small subunit ribosomal RNA", at positions 607 to 1244 of the family's 1533-position model. The record is from RNAcentral.
GCUCAACCGAGGAAGUGCUUCGAAAACUGGUAAACUUGAGUGCAGAAGAGGAAAGUGGAACUCCAUGUGUAGCGGUGGAAUGCGUAGAUAUAUGGAAGAACACCAGUGGCGAAGGCGGCUUUCUGGUCUGUAACUGACGCUGAGAUUCGAAAGCAUGGGUAGCAAACAGGAUUAGAUACCCUGGUAGUCCAUGCCGUAAACGAUGAGUGCUAAGUGUUGGAGGGUUUCCGCCCUUCAGUGCUGCAGCUAACGCAUUAAGCACUCCGCCUGGGGAGCACGAUCGCAAGAUUGAAACUCAAAGGAAUUGACGGGGGCCCGCACAAGCGGUGGAGCAUGUGGUUUAAUUCGAAGCAACGCGAAGAACCUUACCAGGUCUUGACAUACCAUGAGAAGCUAAGAGAUUAGUCUUUCCCUUCGGGGACAUGGAUACAGGUGGUGCAUGGUUGUCGUCAGCUCGUGUCGUGAGAUGUUGGGUUAAGUCCCGCAACGAGCGCAACCCUUAUUAUCAGUUGCCAGCAUUCAGUUGGGCACUCUGGUGAGACUGCCGGUGACAAACCGGAGGAAGGUGGGGACGACGUCAAAUCAUCAUGCCCCUUAUGACCUGGGCUACACACGUGCUACAAUGGUCGGUACAACG